This 861-nucleotide ribosomal RNA is filed under the name uncultured bacterium. Its description in RNAcentral is "bacterial SSU rRNA". It matches the Rfam family "Bacterial small subunit ribosomal RNA", at positions 48 to 916 of the family's 1533-position model. The record is from RNAcentral.
UUAACACAUGCAAGUCGAACGAGAUCCAUGAUGUAGCAAUACAUCGGAAGAUCUAGUGGCGAACGGGUGAGGAUCACGUGAGAAACCUGCCCCAGACUCUGGGAUAACAAUUGGAAACGAUUGCUAAUACCGGAUGACGUCGGAGAACCGCAUGGUUCACUGACGAAAGAUAUUUCGGUUUGGGAGGGUCUCGCGGCCUAUCAGCUUGUUGGUGGGGUAAUGGCCUACCAAGGCAACGACGGGUAGCUGGUCUGAGAGGAUGAUCAGCCACACUGGGACUGAGACACGGCCCAGACUCCUACGGGAGGCAGCAGUGGGGAAUCUUGCGCAAUGGGCGAAAGCCUGACGCAGCAACGCCGCGUGCGGGAUGAAGGCCUUCGGGCUGUAAACCGCUUUCAGCAGGAACGAAGAUGACGGUACCUGCAGAAGAAGGAGCGGCCAACUACGUGCCAGCAGCCGCGGUGACACGUAGGCUCCAAGCGUUGUCCGGAUUUAUUGGGCGUAAAGAGCUCGUAGGCGGUUUAGUAAGUCGGGUGUGAAAACUCUGGGCUUAACCCGGAGACGCCAUCCGAUACUGCUAUGACUUGAGUUCAGGAGGGGAGCGGGGAAUUCCUAGUGUAGCGGUGAAAUGCGCAGAUAUUAGGAGGAACACCGGUGGCGAAGGCGCCGCUCUGGACUGAAACUGACGCUGAGGAGCGAAAGCAUGGGUAGCAAACAGGAUUAGAUACCCUGGUAGUCCAUGCCGUAAACGGUGGGCACUAGGUGUGGGUUCCAACUAACGGGAUCCGCGCCGUCGCUAACGCAUUAAGUGCCCCGCCUGGGGAGUACGGUCGCAAGACUAAAACUCAAAGGAAUUGACGG